UCCUUCCUUCUUCUUGUGUCCUUCUCAUCUGUCACUUCUCGGGGAGGAAAUGAAGUUUCAGACCUUUGGAAUUCCAGAGGGAUCUAAACUCGUCUCCGGGAACUGUGCUUAUCUCCAGCCACCCUUAAACCAUGCUGAGGAACCCGGAGGGAGCUGACCAGGGCUGUUCCUCAGACACCCCUCUACACCGCAAACAGCCUGCAGCUUUCACCGUAUGCGGCGACUGUAGAUAAAGAGUUUGAUUGUUCUCCUGGUCAAAUAGGAGCCAGGAUCUGCUUCCCAAACCCCCACUUUUGGGGCACCCUGGUGGCUCAGUCAGUUAAGCGGCUGACUUCGUCUCAAGUCAAGCCUGCUUUGAAUUCUCCCUCUCUCUCUGCCCCUCCCCUGCUCAUGCUCUGUCUGUCUCUCUUAAAAAUAAAUAAACAUUAAAAAAAAAAAACCCACCACUCUUCUGUAGCCCCCACUUUGACUCCCCAAGCAGAGUCAGAGGCCUGGCUGUUACCACGGAAGGGAGCUUGGGUCUCCUGCCCCUGAAGGGCCAGCUAGUGCCCAAAGCAUCCCAACCACCAGAAAUCUCAGAACACAUCUUCAAACUCCC
This is a long non-coding RNA of Leopardus geoffroyi (Geoffroy's cat), 598 nucleotides long. RefSeq lists it as uncharacterized. The record is from RefSeq and is a predicted model, not a curated record. NCBI's taxonomy places the organism in Eukaryota, Metazoa, Chordata, Mammalia, Carnivora, Felidae. The transcript has 3 exons.